ACCUGUGAGGCACUGGGAGCUUAGCAGCAUCUUUUGGAGCCUGCUACAGGCUGGAGGCUGUCAGAGAAAGAAGUUGUCAGUGAGUUGUCCAGCGGGUUGUGGAGCAGGAGGACGAUUUGCCAAUGACUGAGUGUCUUCCAGGGAUUCCCGAUCCAAUGGUCAGGGAUCCAGCUUUUCACUUCUGAUCUACUGUAUGUUAUGGAAUCUGGCAAAUAGGCACAAAUCUGGAUGAGCUGGUUUAUGGAACAAUAAACACAGCAUUUGUAGCAGAUGUAUGGAGGCUGGAUUUGAUGGCUUCUGGCACAUCAGGAUCUCACUCAGGAAGCCCCUGAGCGAGGCAGUGCCGUGUGAACACGAGG
Pipra filicauda (Wire-tailed manakin) is the source of this 359-nucleotide long non-coding RNA. RefSeq lists it as uncharacterized. The record is from RefSeq and is a predicted model, not a curated record. The transcript is spliced from 3 exons. Lineage: Eukaryota; Metazoa; Chordata; Aves; Passeriformes; Pipridae.